This 254-nucleotide ribosomal RNA is filed under the name uncultured bacterium. RNAcentral's name for it is "partial 16S ribosomal RNA". It matches the Rfam family "Bacterial small subunit ribosomal RNA", at positions 524 to 776 of the family's 1533-position model. The record is from RNAcentral.
GACAGAGGGUGCAAACGUUGUUCGGAUUUACUGGGCGUAAAGCGCGUGUAGGCGGCUUUGCAAGUCGGGUGUGAAAGCCCUCAGCUUAACUGAGGAAGUGCGCCCGAAACUGCAGAGCUUGAGUACCGGAGAGGAUGGUGGAAUUCCCCAAGUAGAGGUGAAAUUCGUAGAUAUGGGGAGGAACACCGGUGGCGAAGGCGGGUCUCUGGGCAAUAACUGGACGCUGAGGAGCGAAAGCGUGGGGAGCGAACAGG